This 633-nucleotide long non-coding RNA is filed under the name Capra hircus (goat). Its description in RNAcentral is "lncRNA (ENSCHIG00000000600.1)". Lineage: Eukaryota; Metazoa; Chordata; Mammalia; Artiodactyla; Bovidae. The record is from RNAcentral.
CGACUGAGACAGAUGCUGACUUGUAUUUGGAAAAGCAUGUGGCAGUGUUGGCCAUCCACAUCCAUGGGUUCCACAUCCAACGAUUCAACUGACAGGAGUUCCAGCAACUGAAGAAACAUGACCUGCCUGCUUACCUGCCAGCCUGAAGAGGAAAACUAGAUGAUGGAAUCUUGGGAAAAAACAAAAGACUGACUCAGCAGCAAGUACACAUCAUUAGCAGGAAGUGCGUCGGUCCCAGGAGUGGUGAUUAGGCAUUUUCGGAAGUCAUAAGGAAGGGAAGCCUAUAAACGGCCCUCCACCUGUCUCGUUCAGCUCUGGAUCGCAGUGCCUGGCAUGAUGCGGACCUUGUAGUAAAUGCUCAUCAAAUGUCUGAUGAGUGAGGGCAGUAGGAAGUGAGCAGUCAUGUGGCGAGAGGAGAGACCCGUGGCCACAAGGAGGUGGUGAUGGCAUGGACUCAGCAUGUGCUCCUUGGGGACAGACCCCCACGUCCCUCAGGACGGGCCCUACAGGAAGCCCCGGGUCUGCAAGAUGACACCCCAGGCAGAUGGAAAACUGCACAAUGGCCAACCCUGUAUCCACAUCCUUGGGGCUUUCCACUUGCCUGAACUGCGGCUUUCACCAGAAACUCUGAAC